GUGCGAUUCAAGAAAAAUCGACUUUUCUACGUACGGAAUUUGGGAAAAACUUCCUUCAUAAAAGUUGUAGAGCUCGUCGAUAUGAUCGCGUGCAUAUGUCGAACGAAAUUUUUGGAGUUCGUACGAUUAUGUUACGAAUUUUGGAAAUAUGAGAUUCUUUUUAUAAUCUCUUUUCCUCGGAUUCUCUUUUAGAAAUUUCUUUUUCUUCCUUUUCCUUUUCCUUUUCCUUUCCUCCGGGUCUCCUUCCUUCUUUUUCUUUUUCUCUUUUUUUUUCUUCUUCUUUCUCUCUCUCGCUCGACCGAAACCGAAAACAGAGCAAAGGCUCUUCGGUCUCUCUCUACCUCCACCGGCCACCAAACGGCGUCGAACCACUUCCUUUUGCUUCGUCUCAGCCUUGCGCAGCUGCCAGAGGCAGCCUUGCACCGUGACACGGCCACCAGCGGCGGCGGGAAGCUCCGCCCGGUUUGAGCUCGUUUUGGAAACAAGCUUGAUAUCUCAAGCUACCGGUCACCAAUCCUCACCAAAAUCCAUCCACAAGCUCGCCUCAACGUCCUGAAAACUCCCAGAAGCAGCCUCACACGGCGGCGUGGCCCGUAGCAGUGGCUGCAAGUCAAACCCAACCAAGAACGAGACCGGAGCUAUCGAUCAAGAUAUCUCGAGCUGUAGUGCAUCGUUUUCAUUGAUUCUUUUUCCAGUGGGUUCCCCUUGAUGUUAUUAACAACUCUCUAGAAGGCAUCGAGGCCUGAAAUUGAAGCUUUGACGUCGAAAUCGAGCCUUGCCGGAUUCUGCAAAAUUCUGGAAUUUUUCCGACCACCGAAGCUUUCGAUCGGUAUAUCUCGAGCUACAGACCAUAUUUUUCUGUGAUUCUUGAACCAGUGAGUUCUUCUUGAGUUUCUUAACAACUCUUCAGAAGAAAUCGAAGCCUUAAAUUGACGUUUUUACGUCGAAUUGGAGCUCGCCGUUUUCUGCAGUUUCUCGCCGGUUUCUGGAAAAUUCCGGCCACCUUCAUACUGUUCAAGGUGAUCGACGGUUUGAUUUGGCGGACGAUUCGUGAAAUUGUAUUUUGAGCUGUUAAGAAGACGCAGCGGGAAUUUAGAGCGGGUAAUCCUACAGGACAGGAGAAUCAGGAAGGUGAUCGAGCUGUGUAGAGUAGCUGCUUGUGAUACUCUGAUUUUAUGUUGUGAGGUUCGUUAUGCUCGUUUAGAGUUUUACAAUUUUACUUUGUAAGAGGGAAUUGUAAUAAUUAACUCGAAGUUUACCGAUUUGGAAAUUUUGUGUAAGUGGUGGAGUUGUUUCUGAGAAAAGAA
Rosa rugosa (rugosa rose) is the source of this 1307-nucleotide long non-coding RNA. RefSeq lists it as uncharacterized. The transcript is spliced from 3 exons. The record is from RefSeq and is a predicted model, not a curated record. NCBI's taxonomy places the organism in Eukaryota, Viridiplantae, Streptophyta, Magnoliopsida, Rosales, Rosaceae.